UGUGUCUGGAGGCCCAGCUCAAGGACUAUCAAUGCUACUGAAAACAGUAGCUCACUUCCAUCCUGCUUUACUCUUACAAGCUGACAAGAUUUCAACUCAAGGGAGGAGACUCACGGCGCUGUCACAAAGUACAUGUGGAGAAGAACUGCAAGGUAUUUGUCUCUCCAACUAGAUACGAAGUCUUGGCAGAGCUUGGAUUCGACUCCAUGUGAUUAUGAACCUCCACAGAGCCUACUGCACAGUAAAUCUGGAGAAAUCAGCUUGCCCGGCCAAUUGGAUGCUCCCCUCGAAUCUUGCUGCAG
Molecule: long non-coding RNA, 302 nt
Organism: Tupaia belangeri chinensis (Chinese tree shrew)
Lineage: Eukaryota; Metazoa; Chordata; Mammalia; Scandentia; Tupaiidae
Exons: 4
Source: RefSeq, a predicted model, not a curated record